UGCCUCUUCUGCUGCCACUUCCUCCCGUGUCUUCCACACGCCGCGUGUCCUCCAGGCGGGAGAGCAGAACCCAGAACCUUCGGGAGGGAACCAGGGGCCAAUGCAGGACCCCAGAGAGUCGCCUGCAGGCAGAACCGGGUCAGAUGUGCCGAGAGGCUCGGAGACGGGGCCAGACCCCGAUUUCUCUUCUGCGAUCACUGCUGAGCCCGUGGCUCAGCCGCCACUGGGUCCGCAGCGACCUGGGCAGCGAGCGGUGCCCCAGCAGAUAAAAAAGAACUUUCCUUGGGCCCCCUCAUCGGCCAGGUUGGGGGCUAUGACCGGGACGCCUGCCUUUAAGUCCUGGCCGAGCCCAGCUUCGGACGCAGAGAGGAGAGGCGACUGCCAGAGGGAGGCGCUGGGAGGAUGCCCGGGGGCUGACCCUCAUCGGAACCCGGACCAGAGCCUGGGUCUGCGGGGUCAGACACCGACCCGGUUCUGGUCCAGACGUAGGAGGGGCACGGCCUCACCCGACAGGCUACUCGGACCCGCUGGAGAGCCGGACACUCCUCACCCGGGACCGUGCCCCAGCCCUCUUCAGGGCAUCGCCACUCCCCACACGCCGUGCAAACACGUGCUGUGGAAGAUGGUCCACGUCCACGUAGACAGAGGAGUGUGGUUCCUCCCCUCCCCCGCUCUUCGCACUCUCCUGUGAUCAAUUAAUUUCCCACCAGUUCCUGCUCUUGUAGACAGCGCUGCACUCCUCUGUGAAGACCGAGAGGGGUGGAUGGGUAACUUCGGCAAAUUGUUCGACAUUCCACGUGGUAGCCUCAUCGUCUAGCGAUGACUAGCGCCAUCUCCCUUGCAGAGCUGGUGGGAGGAUGAAGUGAGUUAGAAUUUGUAAAGCUCUUGGGCCAGUCAAGACCAGUGUCCGGAAAGUCGUAAGCACCCCACCACCACGGUUAAAUCCAGACACGCACGUACACUUUCCGGAUGCCGUGGGGCCGGGUUUGCAGUGCAUAGUGCUAUGUCUUGGAGCUCUGCAUAUGUGAGCACACACAUGUGCCAUCAUCUGAUAGCAGUGGCAGGUGUUGUACGGAUGGACUAUAAAUUAUUU
Molecule: long non-coding RNA, 1093 nt
Organism: Myotis brandtii (Brandt's bat)
Lineage: Eukaryota; Metazoa; Chordata; Mammalia; Chiroptera; Vespertilionidae
Exons: 3
Source: RefSeq, a predicted model, not a curated record